UCUUUAAGUAUAGAAGAAUAUCAGAAGUUAUUUUGUUGCUGUGUUCUUUUAAGAACAGUAGUGUUUGGUUUUCUCCUAGGUUCUUGACCUAUCUACUCUCAGGUUUAGCCACCCAAACAGUGGCUAAGAAGUGUCCAGGAUGGAUUCUAUUUUAGGGAGUGGGCCUUAGAUCAAAUCAGAUAUUGGUUGGUGUUACUCUUACAGUUUUGAAUCAUUAUUGCACAGUAUCUUGUAUGCAGGGCACCAUUGUAACUCAAAGGAUUUGUAACUGGGUUGGUGUUUACAGUUUUUCCCUUUCGUUGCAGAAUACGUUCCAGUUCCAUGAACACUACUAGUGGUGUAGUUGAGGAUUGCCUAUUAUCCUGCCUUAGCAUCUUAGGAGCUGGAAUUGCAGGUGCAU
Molecule: non-coding RNA, 400 nt
Organism: Mus caroli (Ryukyu mouse)
Lineage: Eukaryota; Metazoa; Chordata; Mammalia; Rodentia; Muridae
Source: RefSeq, a predicted model, not a curated record